RNAcentral lists this ribosomal RNA (321 nucleotides) under uncultured bacterium. Its description in RNAcentral is "bacterial SSU rRNA". It matches the Rfam family "Bacterial small subunit ribosomal RNA", at positions 28 to 349 of the family's 1533-position model. The record is from RNAcentral.
GACGAACGCUGGCGGCGUGCUUAACACAUGCAAGUCGAGCGGUAAGGCCCUUUCGGGGGUACACGAGCGGCGAACGGGUGAGUAACACGUGGGUGACCUGCCCUUAGCUCUGGGAUAAGCCUGGGAAACUGGGUCUAAUACCGGAUAUGACUCCAUGACGCAUGUUGUGGGGUGGAAAGCCUUGUGCGGCUAGGGAUGGGCCCGCGGCCUAUCAGCUUGUUGGUGGGGUGAUGGCCUACCAAGGCGACGACGGGUAGCCGGCCUGAGAGGGCGACCGGCCACACUGGGACUGAGACACGGCCCAGACUCCGUACGGGGGGC